UUGAAGAGUUUGAUCAUGGCUCAGAUUGAACGCUGGCGGCAGGCCUAACACAUGCAAGUCGAACGGUAGCACAGAGAGCUUGCUCUCGGGUGACGAGUGGCGGACGGGUGAGUAAUGUCUGGGAAACUGCCUGAUGGAGGGGGAUAACUACUGGAAACGGUAGCUAAUACCGCAUAACGUCGCAAGACCAAAGAGGGGGACCUUCGGGCCUCUUGCCAUCAGAUGUGCCCAGAUGGGAUUAGCUAGUAGGUGGGGUAACGGCUCACCUAGGCGACGAUCCCUAGCUGGUCUGAGAGGAUGACCAGCCACACUGGAACUGAGACACGGUCCAGACUCCUACGGGAGGCAGCAGUGGGGAAUAUUGCACAAUGGGCGCAAGCCUGAUGCAGCCAUGCCGCGUGUAUGAAGAAGGCCUUCGGGUUGUAAAGUACUUUCAGCGGGGAGGAAGGUGUUGUGGUUAAUAACCACAGCAAUUGACGUUACCCGCAGAAGAAGCACCGGCUAACUCCGUGCCAGCAGCCGCGGUAAUACGGAGGGUGCAAGCGUUAAUCGGAAUUACUGGGCGUAAAGCGCACGCAGGCAGUCUGUCAAGUCGGAUGUGAAAUCCCCGGGCUCAACCUGGGAACUGCAUUCGAAACUGGCAGGCUAGAGUCUUGUAGAGGGGGGUAGAAUUCCAGGUGUAGCGGUGAAAUGCGUAGAGAUCUGGAGGAAUACCGGUGGCGAAGGCGGCCCCCUGGACAAAGACUGACGCUCAGGUGCGAAAGCGUGGGGAGCAAACAGGAUUAGAUACCCUGGUAGUCCACGCCGUAAACGAUGUCGACUUGGAGGUUGUGCCCUUGAGGCGUGGCUUCCGGAGCUAACGCGUUAAGUCGACCGCCUGGGGAGUACGGCCGCAAGGUUAAAACUCAAAUGAAUUGACGGGGGCCCGCACAAGCGGUGGAGCAUGUGGUUUAAUUCGAUGCAACGCGAAGAACCUUACCUACUCUUGACAUCCAGAGAACUUAGCAGAGAUGCUUUGGUGCCUUCGGGAACUCUGAGACAGGUGCUGCAUGGCUGUCGUCAGCUCGUGUUGUGAAAUGUUGGGUUAAGUCCCGCAACGAGCGCAACCCUUAUCCUUUGUUGCCAGCGGUCCGGCCGGGAACUCAAAGGAGACUGCCAGUGAUAAACUGGAGGAAGGUGGGGAUGACGUCAAGUCAUCAUGGCCCUUACGAGUAGGGCUACACACGUGCUACAAUGGCGCAUACAAAGAGAAGCGACCUCGCGAGAGCAAGCGGACCUCAUAAAGUGCGUCGUAGUCCGGAUUGGAGUCUGCAACUCGACUCCAUGAAGUCGGAAUCGCUAGUAAUCGUAGAUCAGAAUGCUACGGUGAAUACGUUCCCGGGCCUUGUACACACCGCCCGUCACACCAUGGGAGUGGGUUGCAAAAGAAGUAGGUAGCUUAACCUUCGGGAGGGCGCUUACCACUUUGUGAUUCAUGACUGGGGUGAAGUCGUAACAAGGUAACCGUAGGGGAACCUGCGGUUGGAUCACCUCCUU
This 1536-nucleotide ribosomal RNA is filed under the name Enterobacter kobei. RNAcentral's name for it is "bacterial SSU rRNA". It matches the Rfam family "Bacterial small subunit ribosomal RNA". Lineage: Bacteria; Pseudomonadati; Pseudomonadota; Gammaproteobacteria; Enterobacterales; Enterobacteriaceae. The record is from RNAcentral.